UGCUCAGCAACUCCUAUCCCUACCUCCUCGUGGUGCUGGCCGGGGUACGAGUAACCUUAGGGAAGAUCGGGUAACCAACCCCCGGUGGGAACUUUGGUCGUAUGCUGACAGGGAAGG
RNAcentral lists this ribozyme (117 nucleotides) under Aedes aegypti (yellow fever mosquito). RNAcentral describes it as "drz-agam-1 ribozyme". It matches the Rfam family "drz-agam-1 ribozyme". Lineage: Eukaryota; Metazoa; Arthropoda; Insecta; Diptera; Culicidae. The record is from Rfam by way of RNAcentral.